GGGUUAGUAGGUUGGUCAUGCCUCUGGUAUGUACUGGUCUCACUGAUUCCUCCUUCCUGAUGAACUGUAAUGCCAUUAAUUUGAUGUCGUGGAGAAUCAGGACUGUUACUUUGAAAAAAUUAGAGUGUUUAAAGCAGGCUUUCGCUUGAAUACAUUAGCAUGGAAUAAUGAAAUAGGACGUUUGAUCCUAUUUUGUUGGUUUCUAGGAUUGACGUA
This 216-nucleotide ribosomal RNA is filed under the name Campeiostachys nutans. RNAcentral describes it as "Elymus nutans partial small subunit ribosomal RNA". The stretch from base 40 to 216 matches the Rfam family "Eukaryotic small subunit ribosomal RNA", at positions 686 to 864 of the family's 1831-position model. The record is from RNAcentral. Lineage: Eukaryota; Viridiplantae; Streptophyta; Magnoliopsida; Poales; Poaceae.